Molecule: transfer RNA, 60 nt
Filed under: Didymobothrium rudolphii
Lineage: Eukaryota; Metazoa; Platyhelminthes; Cestoda; Spathebothriidea; Acrobothriidae
Description: tRNA-Thr
Source: RNAcentral
GGUUUUUUAGUUUAUAAAAAUACAGAUUUUGUAAUUCUGAGAUGGUACRCCCAAAAACCU